This 545-nucleotide long non-coding RNA is filed under the name Homo sapiens (human). RNAcentral's name for it is "long non-coding RNA NONHSAT037017.2". Lineage: Eukaryota; Metazoa; Chordata; Mammalia; Primates; Hominidae. The record is from RNAcentral.
CAGUUAUCUAUCACUUCCAAAGUUCAGGAGCUUCAGAACUUAUUAAAAGGAAAAGAGGAACAGAUGAAUACCAUGAAGGCUGUUUUGGAAGAGAAAGAGAAAGACCUAGCCAAUACAGGGAAGUGGUUACAGGAUCUUCAAGAAGAAAAUGAAUCUUUAAAAGCACAUGUUCAGGAAGUAGCACAACAUAACUUGAAAGAGGCCUCUUCUGCAUCACAGUUUGAAGAACUUGAGAUUGUGUUGAAAGAAAAGGAAAAUGAAUUGAAGAGGUUAGAAGCCAUGCUAAAAGAGAGGGAGAGUGAUCUUUCUAGCAAAACACAGCUGUUACAGGUGAAUAUGGUGACUUAAAAUUAAUUAUUUUGUAAAUUAUUGUCUUUGCAUGCUUUAAAAUAAUUUUUAACUGCUGCCAAAAAAUAGAGUACAGAAUGAGUCUCCCUCCCACCCAGAUACUAGGUGUCAUUAUUGGCAUGUUUUUUGAGUAAGUACCCAUGCAUAAAAUGUGUGUAUGUAUGUAUACUUGUUUAUUAAAUACUCUGUUGAACUAU